RNAcentral lists this ribosomal RNA (229 nucleotides) under uncultured bacterium. RNAcentral describes it as "partial 16S ribosomal RNA". It matches the Rfam family "Bacterial small subunit ribosomal RNA", at positions 568 to 796 of the family's 1533-position model. The record is from RNAcentral.
UGCGUAGGCGGAAAAUUAAGUCAGCGGUGAAAUCCUGCGGCUCAACCGUAGAACUGUCAUUGAUACUGAUUUUCUUGAAUACAGUUGAGGUAGGCGGAAUAUGUAAUGUAGCGGUGAAAUGCUUAGAUAUUACAUAGAACACCGACUGCGAAGGCAGCUUACUAAACUGAUAUUGACGCUGAGGCACGAAAGCGUGGGGAGCGAACAGGAUUAGAUACCCUGGUAGUCC